RNA transcript from Mirounga angustirostris (Northern elephant seal), 3869 nucleotides. It is a transcript of the gene named transmembrane and coiled-coil domains 1, with no coding region annotated. The transcript has 8 exons. The record is from RefSeq and is a predicted model, not a curated record. Lineage: Eukaryota; Metazoa; Chordata; Mammalia; Carnivora; Phocidae.
GGCGCUGUGCCCCGGAAGCGGAAGUGUGACUGUAGUCUGUCAGGGAGUGUUCCUCGGUGGUCCAGGAAUCCAGCGAAGUCGUUGUCGUUUAAUUUUUGCAGGCUCUCGAGCGCUUCCCCCCUGGCGGGUGGGAGUGCAGAGAGGAAAGUGCAAGAUGAGCACCAUGUUCGCGGACACACUGCUCAUCGUUUUUAUCUCCGUGUGCACGGCUCUUCUUGCCGAGGGUAUAACCUGGGUCCUGGUUUACAGGACAGACAAGUACAAGAGACUGAAAGCGGAGGUGGAGAAACAGAGUAAAAAACUGGAAAAGAAGAAGGAAACAAUAACAGAGUCAGCUGGUCGACAACAAAAAAAGAAAAUAGAGAGGCAAGAAGAGAAACUGAAAAAUAACAACAGAGACCUAUCCAUGGUCCGAAUGAAAUCCAUGUUUGCAAUUGGCUUUUGUUUUACUGCCCUAAUGGGAAUGUUCAAUUCCAUAUUUGAUGGUAGAGUGGUGGCAAAGCUCCCUUUCACCCCUCUUUCCUAUAUCCAAGGACUGUCUCAUCGAAACCUGCUAGGGGAUGACACCACAGACUGUUCCUUCAUUUUUCUGUAUAUUCUCUGUACCAUGUCAAUUCGACAGUGCUUAGUGAACAAAUGAUUAAGCUGCCUUGACCUUCACACCACCAACUGUUUCUUUUGUAUGAAUUUGCAGCAGCGGAAAUGAACAUCCAGAAGAUUCUUGGUCUUGCCCCUUCACGAGCUGCCACCAAGCAGGCAGGUGGAUUUCUUGGUCCUCCACCUCCUUCUGGGAAGUUCUCUUGAAAUCAAGAAGAACCCUGUAAUUCCUGUCAUUCUUUUUAAACAUUCAAAUUAGACUGGCAACUAUUUUGUAGCAAGAGCCAUAGACAACCUUAGCACUUGGGCCACUUUCUAGUGCUGAGUUAUUUCUAGCCUUUUUGGGUAUGAUUCAAAUGAGAAUGGCUCCCAGCAAACAUGAUAGUACUUUCAGUCACAGAUUAAUUUUUAGAAAAAUAAGUUUGUUGGUUAGAUAAGUUCAGGCAUUGUUUAUGUAAUGAGAAGCAAAUAGCAUCUUUCUUGUUUGGCCUACAUGGAUAUUUUCUGUGGGCCUGACUCUCAAGUCUGUGCUGUGUGCCAUGUACCAUGGAAGUUGGCUCUCCAUGAGCAUUUAGAGAUCUGGAAGAAAAAUUUAGUUUGUGAUAUCUUAAUUGGAACUAUUUGUUGUACAUUGUUUCCAAGCCAAGUAUAUGACCCAGGAUCAAUAAAGACGCCAAAAUUUUAGCUAUUUCAUCUACAAGGUCAGAUCUGUUUUGUACCAUAUUCCUAGAUACAUGUUUUUAGUAAUCUGAACAUAAACAUUGGCCAGGAAGGGCUAAACUCAAAGUUUUAAAUGUACUAUUUUAUCAUACUUGCCUUAUAAGCUCAUAAUAUAGAGUUGUCCUAUUAUAAGAAGUGGAAAGCAUGAGAGGAAAGGAGAGAAGUAACUCAUGGGAGUAUAAAAAGGAGGGCUUGGCAUCCCUUUAAACCCUUGGGUGACUUACGGGAUUCUUGGCAAGGCACUCUUAGUCCUCCCCUGGAGGCAAGGUUAUAGUUAGAGGUAGGAAGCCUUGCAGAGCUUCCUUUUGGUCACAGUGGCCUUUAGUUCCUGCCGUGUUCCUUUGUAAAGGAUGAGAGGAUGCUUUUAUCAUGAACUUCCCCUGCCUAAUCCCUGAAAUUGGAAAUCUUGUAUGAAGUGGUUACUCUCGUAACAAAUACAUACAUUGAUCAGUAGUCUCCUUAGAUGCAUGUGUUCUUCCAAUGAGAGAAGACAUGUUAUUUGCAAAGUAACAACUGUGAAACUGAUAGCAAACUUCUCAAUGGCAUAAAAUCCAGAAGACAGUGGGAUAAUAUCUUCAAAGCUGAGGAAAAUAAUUAUCAGCCUAGAAUUUUAUGUACGGCUAAACCAUAAGAUUGGGGGCAAAACUGGGAGGCAGUAUUUUCAGAGCUACAAAAUCCAAGAUAAUUAUGAACUUCUAAGGUUAUGUUUCUGGGGCACCUAGCUCGCUCAGUCAGUAGAGCAUGCGACUCUUGAUCUCGAGGACAUGAGUUCAAGCCCCAUGUUGGGCAUAGAGCUUUCAUAUUAAAAAAAGAAAUAUAUAUAUAUAUAUAUAUAUUUCCAGGACAGAAAAGAAUACCAGGAGGAAGGUGUAGGAUAUAAGAAACAAUGGUCAACACAGAUAUUUAUAAAAUAUAUGGAUAAAUUUAAGUGUUUUAUGGAUUAUCUGGUUAAGAAUUGUUUCAAGAAAACCCCAUAAGGUAACUACUGUUCUUACCCUCAUUUAACAGAUGAAGAAACGGGCAGGAGAGGUUAAGUAACUUGCUCACCAUCACUUAGCUAGUGAGUGGCAGAGUUAGGAUUUGGAGCGAAGCCACCUAAAGUUACAUAGUGCGGGCUCUCCAGUCCCUCCCCAUAGGCGUGCGGUGAUUCUCUUCCCUCGGCUCUUAUUCUUCAGCUAGAGUACAGGAGACAUGAAUUGGGGGCGGGGGGUGCUUGGUGGUUCUUGUUUCCUUAAAGCUAUCACAUGGGUGGGAACACAGCAGAAGCUCAACAAAAGUAGAUGAAAUGGAACAGAAAUCUUUAUUUCUAGGUCACUUUGAUCAGAAAGGAUGCCUGAUAAUGGACGGCAAUGAUUUCUAACAGUCUUUUCCCCGCGUCAAUGACUGUUCCAGGCAAAAUAAUAGUGAAAAGAAUGAUCAUGACAAAAAUGAUGAUCAUGAUAACAGUGAUGACAAAAAUGACGGAAUCUCUAAAAUAAAACAGAAAAGAGAAGGAACCACACUGAAAAUUCUGCCAAUGCCUUUGUAAAGUGAGAAUAUAUAAUCCAUCCUACCACCUACCUCCUUAGGUUUUGAUGAGAGUGCUUUCUAAUUAAAUUUCUUAUGGACCAGGUUUUCAUAAAGUGUAUUUCAAUAGAAGAGGGUGAAUAAGAGGGAGAGUAAAAAGGAAGGAGAGUAACAUCUAUUCACCCUAUUUCUAAAACAGCACAAUAGGUGUAUUACAGAAGAGUAAAGCUACCACAUCACGAGAAUGUAAAUUAAAGGACAUAUUAAGGCCUAUGCAACCUCACAAUUAGUUUUUUUUAAUUACUUGCCCUGAACAGUUUUCAAGACUAGUCAUUUGGAUGAUGACCUUUCAAGCCAGACAAGCCUCUGAACAUCUCUUAAAAUGUAUGACUUGGCUACUGGACCUAUGUAAAGGAUAGUUGUCCCUUUUCUAGUUUAAGGGGAAAAAAUCAAGCAUUUUUAAUGCUGUGUAUUAGCCUACUCAGGUUGCAGUCAUAAUAUGCUAAAGCAGUAAACUUUGGGGGAAAAAAAUGCAGGUAAACCUGAAUUUAUUAACAGAUAGCAUUCCAAAAUCUAGGUCAGUUUGGAAGUUGGAAAGCAAAUGGGUGUAGGUACUCAUGUGCCCUUGAGCAGACUGUGGUCCCUCUUCUCCCAUGUAAAUCAUCCUCCAGUGGGGUCAGGGACAUACAAUGACACCAGUGGAUUGAUGAGCAUACAGAAUUCCCUUACAUCCAAAUCAAAACCAUUUUGCCGCACACUAGUAUGUAGUAGGGUUUUUUUCAGUAUACUUUCUUUUUUUGCAUUAAUUCUGCUUAAGGUGUAGUCUUUUAAUUUACUUUUACCCUUGAGUUUUUAAACUUUUUAGAAUGGAAAAAAGUCUCAAAAACAAAAGUCUUAAAAAGUAUAAAGAACACUGAGAUACCCAUUAUUCAACAAUUACUAACUCAUGGCCAAUCUCAUGUCUACCCCUGCCUGCCUCCUGUAGUAUUUUGAAGCAAAUCCUAGGCAUCCCAUCUUUUAUGCAUAAAUAUUUCAAUGCUUUUAAA